CAGUCGCCGCGGUAAUACGUAGGGUGCGAGCGUUAAUCGGAAUUACUGGGCGUAAAGCGUGCGCAGGCGGUUAUAUAAGACAGAUGUGAAAUCCCCGGGCUCAACCUGGGACCUGCAUUUGUGACUGUAUAGCUAGAGUACGGUAGAGGGGGAUGGAAUUCCGCGUGUAGCAGUGAAAUGCGUAGAUAUGCGAGGAACACCGAUGGCGAAGGCAAUCCCCUGGACCUGUACUGACGCUCAUGCACGAAAGCGUGGGGAGCAAACAGGAUUAGAUACCCCAGUAGUCCCUGUCUCUUAUACA
Molecule: ribosomal RNA, 301 nt
Filed under: uncultured bacterium
Lineage: Bacteria
Description: partial 16S ribosomal RNA
Rfam family: Bacterial small subunit ribosomal RNA
Source: RNAcentral